This 477-nucleotide ribosomal RNA is filed under the name uncultured bacterium. Its description in RNAcentral is "bacterial SSU rRNA". It matches the Rfam family "Bacterial small subunit ribosomal RNA", at positions 365 to 832 of the family's 1533-position model. The record is from RNAcentral.
UUCGCAAUGCCCGAAAGGGUGACGAAGCGACGCCGCGUGCGGGAAGAAGGCCUUCGGGUCGUAAACCACUGUCGGGAGUUAAGAAAUGUAAGGAUGUUAAUAGCGUCCUUACUUGACUAAGGCUCCGGAGGAAGCCACGGCUAACUCUGUGCCAGCAGCCGCGGUAAUACAGAGGCGGCAAGCGUUGUUCGGAAUUAUUGGGCGUAAAGAGCACGUAGGCGGCUAUGUAAGUCGGUUGUGAAAGCCUUCCGCUCAACGGGAGAACAGCAGUCGAUACUGCAUAGCUUGAGUGCGGGAGGGGAGAGCGGAACUUCUGGUGGAGCGGUGAAAUGCGUAGAUAUCAGAAGGAACGUCGGCGGCGAAAGCGACUCCCUGGCCCGUAACUGACGCUGAGUGUGCGAAAGCUAGGGGAGCAAACGGGAUUAGAUACCCCGGUAGUCCUAGCCGUAAACGAUGGGCACUAAGUAGAGGGGUUUU